RNAcentral lists this ribosomal RNA (492 nucleotides) under uncultured bacterium. Its description in RNAcentral is "partial 16S ribosomal RNA". It matches the Rfam family "Bacterial small subunit ribosomal RNA", at positions 29 to 507 of the family's 1533-position model. The record is from RNAcentral.
AGUGAACGCUGGCGGUAGGCCUAACACAUGCAAGUCGAACGGCAGCACAGUAAGAGCUUGCUCUUACGGGUGGCGAGUGGCGGACGGGUGAGGAAUACAUCGGAAUCUACUUUUUCGUGGGGGAUAACGUAGGGAAACUUACGCUAAUACCGCAUACGACCUACGGGUGAAAGCAGGGGAUCUUCGGACCUUGCGCGAUUGAAUGAGCCGAUGUCAGAUUAGCUAGUUGGCGGGGUAAAGGCCCACCAAGGCGACGAUCCGUAGCUGAUCUGAGAGGAUGAUCAGCCACACUGGAACUGAGACACGGUCCAGACUCCUACGGGAGGCAGCAGUGGGGAAUAUUGGACAAUGGGCGCAAGCCUGAUCCAGCCAUACCGCGUGGGUGAAGAAGGCCUUCGGGUUGUAAAGCCCUUUUGUUGGGAAAGAAAAGCAGCAGGUUAAUACCCCGCUGUUCUGACGGUACCCAAAGAAUAAGCACCGGCUAACUUCGUG